CCUAACACAUGCAAGUCGAACGGUAACAGGAAGAAGCUUGCUUCUUUGCUGACGAGUGGCGGACGGGUGAGUAAUGUCUGGGAAACUGCCUGAUGGAGGGGGAUAACUACUGGAAACGGUAGCUAAUACCGCAUAACGUCGCAAGACCAAAGAGGGGGACCUUCGGGCCUCUUGCCAUCGGAUGUGCCCAGAUGGGAUUAGCUAGUAGGUGGGGUAACGACUCACCUAGGCGACGAUCCCUAGCUGGUCUGAGAGGAUGACCAGCCACACUGGAACUGAGACACGGUCCAGACUCCUACGGGAGGCAGCAGUGGGGAAUAUUGCACAAUGGGCGCAAGCCUGAUGCAGCCAUGCCGCGUGUAUGAAGAAGGCCUUCGGGUUGUAAAGUACUUUCAGCGGGGAGGAAGGGAGUAAAGUUAAUACCUUUGCUCAUUGACGUUACCCGCAGAAGAAGCACCGGCUAACUCCGUGCCAGCAGCC
RNAcentral lists this ribosomal RNA (480 nucleotides) under uncultured bacterium. Its description in RNAcentral is "bacterial SSU rRNA". It matches the Rfam family "Bacterial small subunit ribosomal RNA", at positions 47 to 516 of the family's 1533-position model. The record is from RNAcentral.